GCAGCCGCGGUAAUUCCAGCUCCAAUAGCGUAUAUUAAAGUUGUUGCAGUUAAAAAGCUCGUAGUUGAAUUUCGGGAUCAAUUUGUUGGUCGUGCCUCGGUACGUACUGGCAUUAUUGGUUUCUACCUUCUGAAGAACCUUGAUGUCAUUAAUUUGGUGUCUUGGGGAAUCAGGACUGUUACUUUGAAAAAAUUAGAGUGUUUAAAGCAGGCAUACGCUUGAAUACAUUAGCAUGGAAUAAUGAAAUAGGACGUUUGAUUCUAUUUUGUUGGUUUCUAGGAUCGACGUAAUGAUUAAUAGGGAUAGUUGGGGGCAUUAGUAUUCAAUUGUCAGAGGUGAAAUUCUUGGAUUUAUUGAAGACUAACUACUGCGAAAGCAUUUGCCAAGGAUGUUUUCAUUAAUCAAGAACGAAAGUUAGGGGAUCGAAGACGAUCAGAUACCGUCGUAGUCUUAACCAUAAACUAUGCCGACUAGGGAUCGGAUGAUGUUAUUUUUAAUGACUCAUUC
This 507-nucleotide ribosomal RNA is filed under the name uncultured Glomus. RNAcentral's name for it is "SSU rRNA". It matches the Rfam family "Eukaryotic small subunit ribosomal RNA", at positions 570 to 1081 of the family's 1831-position model. The record is from RNAcentral. Lineage: Eukaryota; Fungi; Glomeromycota; Glomeromycetes; Glomerales; Glomeraceae.